GACGGGGGAUGCUAGCGUUAUCCGGAAUCACUGGGCGUAAAGCGUCUGUAGGUGGUGAUGCAAGUCACUGGUGCAAAACUCUGGCUCAACCGGAGGAAAGCCAGUGAAACUGCAUGACUAGAGUGUGGGAGAGGUAGAAGGAAUUCCCUGAGUAGCGGUGAAAUGCGUAGAUACAGGGAAGAACACCGGAGGCGAAAUCGUCCUACUGGACCUCAACUGACUCUCAGAGACGAAAGCUAGGGGAGCGAAUGGG
This 253-nucleotide ribosomal RNA is filed under the name uncultured bacterium. RNAcentral's name for it is "partial 16S ribosomal RNA". It matches the Rfam family "Bacterial small subunit ribosomal RNA", at positions 524 to 776 of the family's 1533-position model. The record is from RNAcentral.